RNAcentral lists this ribosomal RNA (780 nucleotides) under uncultured bacterium. RNAcentral describes it as "bacterial SSU rRNA". It matches the Rfam family "Bacterial small subunit ribosomal RNA", at positions 54 to 829 of the family's 1533-position model. The record is from RNAcentral.
CAUGCAAGUCGAGGGGCAGCACAAGGAGCAAUCUGAGGUGGCGACCGGCGCAGGGAGAGUAACACGUAUGCAACCUGCCUGUAAGAGGGGGAUAACCCGUUGAAAGACGGACUAAUACCGCAUAAUACUGAAUAACCGCAUGGUUAAUUAGUUAAACAUUUAUGGCUUACAGAUGGGCAUGCGCAUGAUUAGCUAGUUGGUGAGGUAACGGCUCACCAAGGCAACGAUCAUUAGGGGUUCUGAGAGGAAGGUCCCCCACACUGGUACUGAGACACGGACCAGACUCCUACGGGAGGCAGCAGUGAGGAAUAUUGGUCAAUGGGCGAGAGCCUGAACCAGCCAAGUCGCGUGAAGGAUGAAGGUUUUAUGAAUUGUAAACUUCUUUUGCAGUUUUUAUAAAGUACGGUACGUGUACCGUUUUGUAUGUACUCUGCGAAUAAGGAUCGGCUAACUCCGUGCCAGCAGCCGCGGUAAUACGGAGGAUCCAAGCGUUAUCCGGAUUUAUUGGGUUUAAAGGGUGCGCAGGCGGGUUGAUAAGUCAGCGGUGAAAGUUUGCAGCUUAACUGUAAAAUUGCCGUUGAAACUGUCGAUCUUGAGUGCAAAUGAGGUAAGCGGAAUGUGUUGUGUAGCGGUGAAAUGCUUAGAUAUAACACAGAACACCGAUUGCGAAGGCAGCUUACUGGGAUGCAACUGACGCUCAUGCACGAAAGCGUGAGGAUCAAACAGGAUUAGAUACCCUGGCAGUCCACGCAGUAAACGAUGAAUACUAACUGUUUGCGA